Molecule: ribosomal RNA, 427 nt
Filed under: uncultured bacterium
Lineage: Bacteria
Description: partial 16S ribosomal RNA
Rfam family: Bacterial small subunit ribosomal RNA
Source: RNAcentral
UGGGGAAUAUUGCACAAUGGGCGCAAGCCUGAUGCAGCCAUGCCGCGUGUAUGAAGAAGGCCUUCGGGUUGUAAAGUACUUUCAGCGGGGAGGAAGGCGAUAAGGUUAAUAACCUUGUCGAUUGACGUUACCCGCAGAAGAAGCACCGGCUAACUCCGUGCCAGCAGCCGCGGUAAUACGGAGGGUGCAAGCGUUAACCGGAAUUACUGGGCGUAAAGCGCACGCAGGCGGUCUGUCAAGUCGGAUGUGAAAUCCCCGGGCUCAACCUGGGAACUGCAUUCGAAACUGGCAGGCUAGAGUCUUGUAGAGGGGGGUAGAAUUCCAAGUGUAGCGGUGAAAUGCGUAGAGAUCUGGAGGAAUACCGGUGGCGAAGGCGGCCCCCUGGACAAAGACUGACGCUCAGGUGCGAAAGCGUGGGGAGCAAACA